Molecule: ribosomal RNA, 306 nt
Filed under: Triticum aestivum (bread wheat)
Lineage: Eukaryota; Viridiplantae; Streptophyta; Magnoliopsida; Poales; Poaceae
Description: partial small subunit ribosomal RNA
Source: RNAcentral
UUGGGGGACUUCAAUGAAAUUUUAAUUUCUUCGGAAAAAAAGAGGGUUAAUGUGAGGCCUAAUGCAAUGAUGAGAUAUUUUUGCAAUUGUUUGGGAGAGCGAGGUCUGGAAGAUAUGGGCUGUAUUGGUGACAUUUUCACUUGGAGGAGAGGUGUGGUGAGGGAGAGACUUGAUCGUGCGGGUUGUAAUGUGGAGUGGGUAAGUAAAUUACCCCGGGCUGCAAUCAUAAAGGAAUAACGUGUGCGUUCUGAUCAUCGUCGUAAUAUUAUGAUGGUAAUAUGUUCAACCAACCAAGGAGCCGAGUAA